GGAGGUUGGUGGCUCUGCAUGUGGCAGGGGGUUGGAGAUUCAUGAUCCUUGAGGUCCCUUCCAACCCGGGCCAUUCUCUGAUUCACUGAGCAAAGAGCCAGCAGUCCAUGCUGCUCCAUGUGCUGAAACAGGUGGGAAGGAGACUUUGUGGGGAGGUACAAACCCGAGGUGCUGAUCAAUCAGUUUGAUCAGGGCGGUGCUGCCAGGCUGUGGCAGGAGGGCUGUGUCAGUGAGCUGGAGGUGCACGAUGCCUGGCUACCAGCAAGGGCAGCCCAGGAGGUGUGGAGCAGCUGGGUGAGGCACUGGGCUCUGUGUCACGGUCAGGGCGAGGCUUUACAAACAAGGCUUUCAGAGUCCACAGUUCACAGUGCUUGUUUGUCAGUCUUCCCUUCCCUGUUUGUAUUUGGGGUUUGAGAGCCAGUCUGUAACUAUCACUGGAAUAGUGCCUUUUCAGAAGGAUUUAAUUGCUUUUCCCUUUUCCCCCAGUGCUGGGUGGUGCUGCAGUUUGUGGCUCAGCAGGGGUUUGGUUAGCUGGAAGGGUUCUGUACCCACCCCAUUUCCUGGCCCUUUCACAACUUCCUUCCCUUGAGCCUCACACUGUGCAGUCACUGAGAUUUUAAAAACAAUUUUACAUAGAUUUAAGAAGCCUACCACCAACUUGGAGGAUUGGAGGUCUUUUCUUUUAGAAACCUCCAUCAGCCCUCUUGGGCGCAGCCAGUGAACACACAAUGCUCGUGCUAAGCAUCUCUGCAAUGGCAAAAACAAUUUACAGGCCGCUGAAAGUACCGCAGAUUAAAGAGAUAAUAAAGGGGAGCUGGGUAAAGAAACCCUCUGUUUGUAUCAGUUCUCAUUGGGGCAUAUGUUUUUCAAUUCAGUAAAGUUGAGUGAUGUGUUGUCCCCGUAGCUGUUACACAAUUCUAAGUCUUAGCAGAGCCACAAAGUUUAGUGAUAGCAUAUUAAAAAAAAAGAAAAAGAAAAAAAGCAAACAGUCUGUAGCACCUGGUGAGCUAGUACCUGAUGUCUCCAGGAUGGUACAGAGGAGCUUCAUUAAUAAAUCAUUGAAUAUUUUAAGUUGGAAGAUACAUUAAAGAUAAUCUAGCUCCAACCCCCCUACUGUGGGCUGGCAGCCCAGAGCCCCAUCCAGCCUGGCUUUGAGCACCCCCAGGGAUGGGGCACCCACUGCUCUCUGGCCUCACUGCCCUCUGAGAAAAGAAUUGCUUCCUAACUUCCAAUUAAAUCUUUAACGCUUUAUUUUGUAACACCACCCACAGGAGGUAAAGGCUGUGUUGUCACCUCCCCAGAACCAUACCCAGAUACACACUGUAGACAACUUAAACCCAUCAGCACAGCAGUUAGUAAGUUCAUGCUUUUUGCCAGGAACCAGCGUGUUGCUGGAAAAUGAUGGCAGUAAGUAACUGCUGGCUCAAUCAUGGAUGGGAGUACAUUAAUGAGUCUCCAGCCCUUCAGCCUGGAGUCAUAUCUGGGAGCUCUUUAAGUUGACUAUGUGCACACAACUGCUAGCAUCAAAGUGAACACUAAAAUACCCGUCUUUGGUUUCGAAAGUUCAUGCAACGGGCUGAAAUCACAUAGAGUGUUUGCAACACCAGUGCACAGGGCUGCCAGGAAGCAUUGUCAGGGUCCCCACCAGCCCCAGGCCGUGGCUUUGGGGCAGAAUGAGUCCCCAACUCACCUGAGCAAAGCAGAUAGUCCUGGGGUGGUGCAGCAGUGUAUGGCAGCUCCCAGAUCUGCGGUGUCUGUCCUGCACUCCUUUGGUAUCUACACCAUCGCAGCACCUUUCAAUGCUGUUGCAUUUUUCCCUACUUCUGAUUGCAGGUACAGGCUCCAAAGCUGAGCAGUGAACUGCAUUGGCAGAGGAUGGGCAAAGAUGAAAUGAAGGUAACACCACUUUCCAAGUAAACCUGGUGGGAAAGGAGCUGUAGGGUAUCCGGAAACCUCCAUCCUAGUGGUGCAUUCCUCAACUCUUGCCAGUGAAGCCACUGCUGGUGUUGAGCUUAGAGUCAUUGAAGCUUUAUCAAGAAAAGCUUCAAAUCAGCUAGCCUUUCCUACCAUCUGAUCAUGUACUGGUGAACAGUAGUUGGGUACAUUUUCAAAUUGGACAUCGUGCUUAACGUCCUUUUGGUUCCAACCUGCGUUCCAGCACAUUCAGAACUCACACUUGUUUCCCCCGUUGAGUUGCAUCAGGACAAAGCAAGUGGAAUUUAUCAGAUCUUACCAUCAUCAGACAACACCAAGGAGGCAGCAGACGUUCAAAUGCAGAUCAGAGAGCACGUUUCAUCUGCAUGCACGUUAUGUGGCUGAAGUGAACUGGUUUGAGAACUGGCAUUAAAUGUGUCCAGCUGGCAGUUAAUGUACCAACCUUUGACCUGCAGCAGGCAGCUUCAGAGGAAGGGCAGGGCUGGUGGCAGCACCAUCAGUGCUGUUUGCUCAUACAGCUCUGGCUGCCCUCUGUCCUCACUGUCCUCUGAGUAAAGACAAAGGAGACAAGUUGGGACUGAGAAGCAGUUUCUGUUGCGCUCUGGCUCUGACUCAGCCCCCUCCAUGGGCCAGCAGUGCCACCUACCAGCAUUUAGAGUGGAGAAAUGAGCAACCAGGCUUGGUGUUAUCCACACCAAGCAAUCACAACAUGCUUUUAAAAAGCAAUAUGCUCUGCAUGUGUGCUGGCACACGCAUCUGCCUCGGCUCUGUCCUGGGAACAUUACCAUCACUGAUAGCAUUUCCAUCUGGAAGUAAGAAAACUGAGAUAAUGUCAAAUGGAAUUACGUGACACUGAGCUUGGGAGAGGUGCCCUGAGCUCACAGCAUGGCCUUGUGCUUUGGCGAGAGGCUCUUACACCCAGUGCCAUCAGCAGAAGGGCAGACCUGAGCAGUUUGUUCUUUACGCCGCACACCUUUCCAGAGCCAGUGCUCCAUGUGCGGAUGUGCUUCUCACAGAUUAUCACCACUGAGCAAUUUGUAUCUGCAGGCAUGAGAGCAAAAAGGCAAAGGGUCAGAGCUCCAGCCUGGAAUAAAUCACAGCGAGCCCCUAGCGCGGAGCAUGAGAGAAACGAGCAACAGGGGAGAUGGAAAAGAACAGGCUGUGUCCUGACAGGCAGACCUCAGCAAGACAGAUUUAGCUCUCGUUCAGCCAGGAGGAUGUUUGUCACUGCGAGGACAGGCCUAAAUUAUUUUUAGAGGAUGCAUCAUGAGUCCGCAGCUUUAAAGGACAGUGAAAGAAAGAUCAACUUGUCUGGUGAGGGCUUAUCCUGUUCUGUCAGAGCACUUGCAGCCCUGGGAAGCUGAGGAAUGUGUCAGUACAUACAAGACACCAUGUGCUGCUAGAAGUACAAUGCCUGCUUUUAUUGCUGCUAGCUGUAACACUAGCAGUCAGCAAACCCUGACAUCACACAUGCUGUCCUUACCCUGGGCCACGCACACAGCAGCGUGCCUGCAGGCUGAGCCCAACAGAGCAUUUCUCAAUAAAACACCCUGGAGAUCCAAAAA
Meleagris gallopavo (turkey) is the source of this 3500-nucleotide non-coding RNA. NCBI's taxonomy places the organism in Eukaryota, Metazoa, Chordata, Aves, Galliformes, Phasianidae. The record is from RefSeq and is a predicted model, not a curated record.